Mytilus californianus (California mussel) is the source of this 9921-nucleotide long non-coding RNA. RefSeq lists it as uncharacterized. The transcript is spliced from 4 exons. The record is from RefSeq and is a predicted model, not a curated record. Lineage: Eukaryota; Metazoa; Mollusca; Bivalvia; Mytilida; Mytilidae.
AAUCAUAAGGGGGGCGGGGGUCAAAAAAGGGGUAAUUUUUUUUUUUCCUUUUUUUUUUGUUUAAAAUUUACAUUUUAAGUUAGUUAUUUUUUAUCACGAAGAGAAAGUAGGAAUUGAGUUUUGGGGUUAAUUGCUCAAACAUUUAUGAAUAAGGGGCCAAAUAUUGGUCGAAAAUAAGGAUUUUUUUAGUUUGCAACAAAAACUUGUGUUCAAGUGUAUGGAUCUCUGUGAAAUUGUAUUGCAAUGUACCAUACCACAAAUUGAAGGUUGUGAUUGAGGUGGGGGAUGAUGAAUCAAAAGGGGGUUGAAAAAAUGUGUGGGGGGUAGGAUUUUUUUUUUUCCUUUUUUUUUUCUUUAAAAUUUUCCAUUUAAAGAUGGUUGUUUCAGAUUUAUAUAUGAAAGAAAAUAAUAAUGAUACGGUUAUAUAUCAUGAGGAAUUGAAAUUUAAAAUUAUGUAUAUUGGAAAUUUAGGUUACAUUGGAAAGUAAUAAUUGGCUUUGGGGAGGCGGGGGGUGGUUAUGGCUCUAAUGUUUAAGGAAUAAGGGGAAAAAAGGUUAAAAAACAAGGGUUUCCAUUUUAAUAGACAAAUAAUUGAGUAAAGAACAUUAUUUAAAAGCAGUGUAAGGUUGGUAAUUCAAACUCAUUUAAAUAUCUCAUCUACACUGCUUUUAAAUUAUGUAAAUUGGAAAUUUGCCAAUAACUUUAUUGUUAAUAAAUGCAUUGGAAAUUUGCCAACAAUUUUAGUGUAAUAAACUUCAUUGGAAAUUUGCCAAUAUAAAAUUUUGCUGAUGAAGGUUUUUUGUUUACCUUUAGCCUUGACUAUGAAGUCAUUUUCUAUUUUUAUAGCCUUAUGAUGUAGUUGAAUUAUUUAAUACUUUUAUGAUGUGUUUAAAUGGGGUUUUAUCAUGUUUAUGGUUGCAAAUUUAUUGUUUUAGUAUAAUAAACUCCAUUUAAAAUUUGCCAAUAAAAAAAAGUUUUGUUUAUUUUUAGCUAUGAUUAUGAUGUCAUUUUCUAUUUUACUUUUAUGGUUGCAAAGAAAUUUUUAUUUUUAGAUAUUACUGUUAAAUGAUGCUGAUUAAGGUUUUUGCUAUGUUUAGCCAUGACUAUGAUGUCAUUUUCUAUUUUAAUAUCUGUUAUGAUGUAUUUAAAUGGGCUUUUAUGGUUACAAAGGAAUUUUAUUUUUAUACGACCGCAAAAAAAUUUUUGUGGUCGUAUAUUGGUAUGACGUUGGCGUCGUCGUCGUCGUCGUCGUCGUCGUCGUCCGGCGUCGUCGUCCGGCGUCGUCGUCCGAAUACACAAUAGUUUUCGCACUCUAACUUUAGUUUAAGUGAAUGGAUCUCAAUGAAAUUUUACCAUAAGGUUCAAUACCACAAAAGGAAGGUGGGGAUUGAUUUUGGGGGUUAUGGUACUAACAGUUAAGGAAUUAGGGGCCAAAAGGGGCCAAAAAUAAGCAUUUUUGUAACUUCCAGACAUAACUUGUGUGUAAGUGUAUGGAUCUCUCUGACAUUGUACCACAAGGUUCCAUAUCACAAAGGGAAUGCUGGGAUUGAUUUUGGGGGUAAUUGCCUCCAAAUUUUAGGAAUUAGGGGCCAAAAAGGGGCAAAAAACAAGCAUUUUUCUAGUUUCAUGACAAUAACUUGUUUGUAAUUGUAUGGAUCUUUAUGAAAUUGUACUACAAGGUUCCAUAUCACAAAGGGAAUACUGGGAUUGAUUUUUGGGGUAAUUUCCUCCAAAUUUUAGGAAUUAGGGGCCAAAAUGGGGCAAAAAACAAGCAUUUUUAUACGACCGCAAAAAAAUUUUGUGGUCGUAUAUUGGUAUGACGUUGGCGUCGUCGUCGUCGUCGUCGUCGUCGUCGUCGUCCGGCGUCGUCGUCGUCGUCCGGCGUCGUCGUCCGAAUACAUAUUGGUUUUCGCACUCUAACUUUAGUUUAAGUGAAUGGAUCUUUUUGAAAUUUGACCAUAAGGUUAAAUACCACAAAAGGAAGGUUGGGAUUGAUUUUGGGGGUUAUGGUACCAACAGUUAAGGAAUUAGGGGCCAAAAAGGGGCCAAAAAUGAGCAUUUUCUAGUUUCCAGACAAUAACUGUGGAACGGUGUAUGGAUCUCUCUGAAAUUAUACUACAAGUUUCCAUACCACAAAGGGAUGGUUAGGAUUUGCUUUGGGGGGUUAUGGCUCAAACCGUUUAGGAAUUAGGGGCAAAAAAGGGGGAAAAACAAGGUUGUCCUGGUUAAUGGACAAAUACUUUAGUACAAAACAUAAUUUAAAGCAGUGUAAGGGAGAUAAAUCAAAUACAUCAUUGAAAUUAUCUCCCUUACACUGCUUUUAAAUUAUGUAUAAAGUAAUGGUUAAUGAACAAUAAAGAUAAUCUAAAACAGUGUAAGGGAGGUAAUCAAAAUACAACGUUUUGGUUACUUCCCUUACACUGCUUUUAAAUUAUGUUUAAAGAAAUGCAUAUUUAUAAAGGAAGACCAGUAAAAAUAUCUGCAAAUGUUUUCAUCUUUUUUUUUUACAAAAAAAUCCAUAUGAAAGAUUUGACACUAUAUUUUUAUUAAUUCUAUUAUAAAAUAGAUUAAGUUAGCACUAUGGUAAAUUUAAAUGGGUAAUUAUGGUUGCCAACUCCUUUGGAAAUUUGAAUUGAGAUUAUGACCAUAUCUUGAGGGAAAGAAUUUUUUUGGGGGAAAAAGGGGGGGGGGGGAUAAAAAGAAAUUGUGGGGGGCCAAUUUUUUCUCAUUUCAGAUUUCAGAAAUUAAAAAGAAUUAUUCUUCAAAUAUUAUUUUUUUUUCAAAUUUCAAAUAUUGAAAAAUUUCAAGAAGUAAUCUUUAAUUGCACAGUAUGGCGCAUUAGAUUUGUAAAAUCUUUGAUCACAUUUAUUUAUUUGUUACGCUGAAUCUAACAGUGUAUUUAGAUUUUUAAUUUUGGGUCCAGUUUUCAAAUUGGUCUACAUUAAUGUCCAAAGGGUCCAAAAUUAAACUUUGAUUGAUUUUAGCAAAAAUUGAAUAUAUGAGGUUCUUUGAUAUGCUGAAUCUAAACAUGUAUUUAGAUUUUUGAUUUUUGGCCCAGUUUUCAAGUUGGUCCAAAUUGGGGUCCAAAAUUAAACUUUGUUUGAUUUCAACAAAAAUUGAAUAUAUGGGGUUCUUUGAUAUGCUGAAUCUAACCAUGUAUUUAGAUUUUUUAUUUGUGGACCCCGUUAUCUAAUUGGUUCAUAUUGAGGUCAAAAGGGUCCAAAAUUAAACUUUGUUUGAUUUCAUCUAAAAUUGAAUUAUUGGGGUUCUUUGAUAUUCCAAAUCUAACCGUGUAUUUAGGUUUUUAAUUUUGGUUCCUGUUUUUUAAAUUGGUCUACAUUGAGGUCCAAAGGGUCCAAAAUUAAACUUAGUUUGAUUUUAACAAAAAUUGAAUUCUUGGGGUUCUUUGAUUUGCUGAAUCUAAACAUGUGUUUAGAUUUUUGAUUAUGGGCCCAGUUUUCAAGUUGGUCCAAGAUAGGGUCCAGUAUUUAAACUUUGUUUGAUUUCAACAAAAAUUGAAUAAAUGGGGUUCUUUGAUAUGCUGAAUCUAAACAUGUAUUUAGAUUUUUGAUUAUGGGCCCAGUUUUCAAGUUGGUCCAAAUUGGGGUCCAAAAUUAAACUUUGUUUGAUUUCAACAAAAAUUGAAUAUAUGAGGUUCUUUGAUAUGCUGAAUCUAACCAUGUAUUUAGAUUUUUUAUUUGUGGGCCCUGCUAUCAAAUUGGUUCAUAUUGAGGUCAAAAGGGUCCAAAAUUAAACUUUGUUUGAUUUCAUCGAAAAUUGAAUUAUUGGGGUUCUUUGAUAUGCCAAAUCUAACCGUGUUUUUAGAUUUUUAAUUUGGGUCCCGUUUUUUAAAUUGGUCUUCAUUGAGGUCCAAAGGGUCCAAAAUUAAACUUAGUUUGAUUUUAACAAAAAUUGAAUUCUUGGGGUUCUUUGAUAUGCUGAAUCUAAACAUGUGUUUAGAUUUUUGAUUUUGGGCCCAGUUUUCAAGUUGGUCCAAGUUGGGGUCCAAAAUUAAACUUUUUUUGAUUUCAACAAAAAUUGAAUAUAUGGGGUUCUUUGAUAUGCUGAAUCUAACCAUGAAUUUAGAAUUUUUAUUUGUGGGCCCCGCUAUCAAAUUGGUUCAUAUUGAAGGUCAAAAGGGUCCAAAAUUAAACUUUGUUUGAUUUCAUCAAAAAUUGAAUUAUUGGGGUUCUUUGAUAUUCCAAAUCUAACCGUGUAUUUAGAUUUUUAAUUUUAAGUCCCGUUUUUUAAAUUGGUCUACAUUAAGGUCCAAAGGGUCCAAAAUUAAACUUAGUUUGAUUUUAGCAAAAAUUGAAUUCUUGGGGUUCUUUGAUAUGCUGAAUCUAAACAUGUGUUUAGAUUUUUGAUUAUGGGCCCAGUUUUCAAGUUUGUCCAAGUUGGGGUCCAAAAUUAAACUUUGUUUGAUUUUAACAAAAAUUGAAUAUAUGGGGUUCUUUGAUAUGCUGAAUCUAACCAUGUAUUUUGAUUUUGGACAUUGGACCAUAAUAGGUAAAUUAAAAAAAUUCAAGUUCUUAGACCACAUUCUUUCUGUGUCAGAAACCUAUGCUGUGUCAAAUAUUUAAUAACAAUCCAAAUUCAGAGCUGUAUCAAGCUUGAAUGUUGUGUCCAUACUUGCCCCAACUGUUCAGGGUUCGACCUCUGCGGUCGUAUCAAGCUGCGCCCCAGCGAAGCAUUUUAUAUAGAAUAUGAAGUAAAAAAUUUAAAGAACAUACUGGAAAAAAACAAUGUUAGAUUGAACAUGUAGAAUAUAAAGAUGGAGAAACUUUAUAAGUACAAGGGUACUAUAAACAUAAUAAAUUGGAUGGAAAGUUGAAGAAAACACACUUUAAAAGACCAUUUUUACAGCACACGGUUACAUUUACAACAAAAUUAAUGUCGAUUAAAAACCUCCUGAUCUGAGUCCUAAUCUCCUGACCAAAAUUUCCCAAUCUCCUGAUCUGAGUUUCACAGUCCAUCACAUGUAUGAAUAGGUAAAUUGAAAAUUUUUAAGUUCUUAGACCACUUUCAUUCUGUGUCAGAAACCUAUGCUGUGUCAAAUAUUUAAUUACAAUCCAAAUUCAGUGCUGUAUCAAGCUUGAAUGUUGUGUCCAUACUUGCCCCAACUGUUCAGAGUUCGACCUCUGCGGUCGUAUCAAGCUGCGCCCCAGCGGAGCAUUUUAUUAGAUAUUACUAUAAAAUGUUGCUGAUGCUGAUUAAGGAUUUUGUUUAUUUUUAGCCAUGACUAUGAUGUCAUUUUAUAUUUUAAUACCUUUAUGAUGUAAUUUCCAUUUUUAUACAACCGCAAAAAAAUUUUGAGGUCGUAUAUUGGUAUGACGUUGGCGUCGUCGUCGUCGUCGUCGUCGUCCGGCGUCGUCGUCCGAAUACACAAUGGUUUUCGCACUCUAACUUUAGUUUAAGUGAAUGGAUCUCUAUGAAAUUUUACCAUAAGGUUCAAUACCACAAAAGGAAGGUUGGGAUUGAUUUUGGGGGUUAUGGUAAUAACAGUAAAGGAAUUAGGGGCCAAAAAGGGGCCAAAAAUAAGCAUUUUUGUAACUUCCAGACAUAACUUGUGUGUUAGUGUAUGGAUCUCUCUGACAUUGUACCACAAGGUUCCAUAUCACUAAAGGAAUGCUGGGAUUGAUUUUGGGGGUAAUUGCCUCCAAAUUUUAGGAAUUAGGGGCCAAAAAAGGGGCAAAAAACAAGCAUUUUUCUAGUUUCAUGACAAUAACUUGUGUGUAAGUGUAUGGAUCUUUCUGAAAUUGUACUACAAGGUUCCAUAUCACAAAGGGAAAGCUGGGUUUGAGUUUGGGGGUAAUUGCCCUAAACGUUUAGGAAUUUGGGGCCAAAAAGGGGCCAAAAAACACAUUUUUUUCUAGUUUCCAGACAAUAACUUGUGUUCAAGUGUAUGGAUCUCUCUGAAAUUGUACUGCAAGGUACCAUACCACAAAGGGAAGGCUGGGAUUGAGUUUGGGGGUGAUGAAUCAUAAUGGGGGUUCAAAAAAUUUUGGGGGGGGGAUUUAUUUUUUUUUCCUUUUUUUUCUUUUUUUCCUUUUUUGUUUCUUUUAAAAUUUUCCAUUUUAAGUUGGUUAUUUCUGAUUUAUAUUUAAAAUCAAAUAAUAAUGAUAUGGUAGGAGAUACACACCAAACAGGAUGUGUAAAUUAUUAUAUAAUAAGUAUUGUGCAAUAGCAAGAAAUUUUCAAUUGCACAGUAUUGCACAAUAGCAAGAAAUCUUCAAUUGCACAGUAUUGCGCAAUAGCAAGAAAUCUUCAAUUGCACAGUAUUGCGCAAUAGCAAGAAAUAUCCAAUAGCACAAUAUUGCGCAAUAGCAAGAAAUUGUCAAUUGUACAGUAUUGCGCAAUAGCAAGAAAUAUUUAAUAGCACAGGAUUGUGCAAAAGAAGAUACUUCCUAUAAAUUGCUUAUUUCUUGACCAAUUUCAAUGGGGUUUUAUUCUUGAUUUCAUGGGGUUCUUUAAUAUGCUGAAUAUAACCGUGUAUUUAGUUUAUGGAUUUUGGGCCCCGUUUUUAAAUUGGUCCACAUUGAGGUCCAAAGGGUCCAAAAUUAAACUUUGUUUGAUUUCAUCAAAAAUUGAAUUAUUGGGGUUCUUUGAUAUGCCGAAUCUAACUGUGUAUUUAGAUUCUUAAAUUUUGGUUCCGUUUUCAAAUUGGUCUACAUUAAGGUCCAAAGGGUCCAAAAUUAAACUUAGUUUGAUUUUAACAAAAAUUGAAUUCUUAGGGUUCUUUGAUAUGCUGAAUCUAAACAUGUAUUUAGAUUUUUGAUUAUGGGCCCAGUUUUCAAGUUGGUCCAAAUCGGGGUCCAAAAUUAAACUUUGUUUGAUUUCAACAAAAAUUGAAUAUAUGGGGUUCUUUGAUAUGCUGAAUCAAACCAUGUAUUUAGAUUUUUGAUUUUUGGGCCCCGUUAUCAACUUUGUCCACAUUGAGGUCCAAAGGGUCCAAAAUUAAACUUUGUUUGAUUUCAUCAAAAAUUGAAUUAUUGGGGUUCUUUGAUAUGCCGAAUCUAACCGUGUAUUUAGAUUCUUAAUUUUUGGUUCCGUUUUCAAAUUGGUCUACAUUAAGGUCCAAAGGGUCCAAAAUUAAACUUAGUUUGAUUUUAACAAAAAUUGAAUUCUUAGGGUUCUUUGAUAUGCUGAAUCUAAACAUGUAUUUAGAUUUUUGAUUAUGGGCCCAGUUUUCAAGUUGGUCCAAAUCGGGGUCCAAAAUUAAACUUUGUUUGAUUUCAACAAAAAUUGAAUAUAUGGGGUUCUUUGAUAUGCUGAAUCUAACCAUGUAUUUAGAUUUUUGAUUUUUGGGCCCCGUUAUCAACUUUGUCCACAUUGAGGUCAAAAGGGUCCGAAAUUAAACUUUGUUUGAUUUCAUCAAAAAUUGAAUUCUUGGGGUUCUUUGAUAUGCUGAAUCUAACCAUGUAUUUAGAUUUUGGAUAUUGGACCAUAAUAGGUGAAUGUCCAAUUUAAAAUUUUUAAGUUCUUAGACCACAUUCAAUCUGUGUUAGAAACCUAUGCUGUGUCAAAUAUUUAAUCACAAUCCAAAUCCAAAGCUGUAUCAAGCUUGAAUGUUGUGUCCAUACUUCCCCCAACUGUUCAGGGUUCGACCUCUGCGGUCGUAUCAAGCUGCGCCCUGCGGAGCAUUUUAUUUUUUGUUUAAAAUUUACAUUUUAAGUUAGUUAUUUUUUAUCACGAAGAGAAAGUAGGAAUUGAGUUUUGGGGUUAAUUGCUCAAACAUUUAUGAAUAAGGGGCCAAAUAUUGGUCGAAAAUAAGGAUUUUUUUAGUUUGCAACAAAAACUUGUGUUCAAGUGUAUGGAUCUCUGUGAAAUUGUAUUGCAAUGUACCAUACCACAAAUUGAAGGUUGUGACUGAGGUGGGGGAUGAUGAAUCAAAAGGGGGUUGAAAAAAUGUGUGGGGGGUAGGAUUUUUUUUUUUCUUUAAAAUUUUCCAUUUAAAGAUGGUUGUUUCAGAUUUAUAUAUGAAAGAAAAUAAUAAUGAUAUGGUUAUAUAUCAUGAGGAACUGAAAUUUAAAAUUAUGUAUAUUGGAAAUUUAGGUUACAUUGGAAAGUAAUAAUUGGCUUUGGGGGGGGGUGGUGGUGGUUAUGGCUCUAACGUUUAAGGAAUAAGGGGAAAAAAGGUUAAAAAACAAGGGUUUCCAUUUUAAUAGACAAAUAAUUGAGUAAAGAACAUUAUUUAAAAGCAGUGUAAGGUUGGUAAUUCAAACUCAUUUAAAUAUCUCAUCUACACUGCUUUUAAAUUAUGUAAAUUGGAAAUUUGCCAAUAACUUUAUUGUUAAUAAAUGCAUUGGAAAUUUGCCAACAAUUUUAGUGUAAUAAACUUAAUUGGAAAUUUGCCAAUAUAAAAUUUUGCUGAUGAAGGUUUUUUGUUUACCUUUAGCCUUGACUAUGAAGUCAUUUUCUAUUUUUAUAGCCUUAUGAUGUAGUUGAAUUAUUUAAUACUUUUAUGAUGUGUUUAAAUGGGGUUUUAUCAUGUUGAUGGUUGCAAAUUUAUUGUUUUAGUAUAAUAAACUCCAUUUAAAAUUUGCCAAUAAAAAAAAUUUUGUUUAUUUUUAGCUAUGAUUAUGAUGUCAUUUUCUAUUUUACUUUUAUGGUUGCAAAGAAAUUUUUAUUUUUAGAUAUUACUGUUAAAUGAUGCUGAUUAAGGUUUUUGCUAUGUUUAGCCAUGACUAUGAUGUCAUUUUCUAUUUUAAUAUCUGUUAUGAUGUAUUUAAAUGGGGUUUUAUGGUUACAAAGGAAUUUUAUUUUUAGAUAUUACUAUAAAAUGUUGCUGAUGCUGAAUAAGGAUUUUGUUUAUUUUUAGCCAUGACUAUGAUGUCAUUUUCUAUUUUAAUACCUUUAUGAUGUAAUUUCCAUUUUUAGAUAUUACUGUUAAAUGAUGCUGAUUAAGGGUUUUUUGCUAUGUUUAGCCAUGACUAUGAUGUCAUUUUCUAUUUUAAUAUCUUUAUGAUGUAUUUAAAUGGGCUUUUAUGGUUACAAAGGAAUUUUAUUUUUAGAUAUUACUUUAAAUGUUGCUGAUUAAGGAUUUUUGUUUAUUUUUAGCCAUGACUAUGAUGUCACUUUCUAUUUUAAUACCUUUAUGAUGUAUUUAAAUGGGCUCCCAUGUAUUUAGAUUUUUGAUUAUUUAUACAUGUUACCAAAUUGGUCCACAUUGAACAAAAACGGUCCAAAUUUCAACUUUAUUACAUUACAUCAAACAUUGAAUUCUACAUAUUCUUUGAUAUAUUGAAAUUAACAAACAAUUUAGUUUAUGGAUAUUCCACCAUAAUAGGUAAAUUAAAUUUUUUCCAGUUCUUACACCACAUUCAUCCUGUGUCAGAAACCUAUGCUGUGUCAAAUAUUUAAUGACAAUCCAAAGUCAUAGCUGUAUCAAGCUUGAAUUUUGUGUCCAUACUUGCCCCAACUGUUCAGGGUUCGACCUCUGCGGUCGUAUCAAGCUGCGCCCCAGCGAAGCAUUUUAUCUAUUUUAAUAUCUGUUAUGAUGUAUUUGAAUGGGCUUUUAUGGUUACAAAGGAAUUUUAUUUUUAGAUAUAACUAUAAAAUGUUGCUGAUGCUGAUUAAGGAUUUUGUUUAUUUUUAGCCAUGACUAUGAUGUCAUUUUCUAUUUUAAUACCUUUAUGAUGUAAUUUCCAUUUUUAUACGACCGCAAAAAAAUUUUGUGGUCGUAUAUUGGUAUGACGUUGGCGUCGUCGUCGUCGUCGUCGUCGUCGUCGUCGUCGUCCGGCGUCGUCGUCCGAAUACACAAUGGUUUUCGCACUCUAACUUUAGUUUAAGUGAAUGGAUCUCUAUGAAAUUUUACCAUAAGGUUCAAUACCACAAAAGGAAGGUGGGGAUUGAUUUUGGGGGUUAUGGUACCAACAGUUAAGGAAUUAGGGGCCAAAAAGGGGCCAAAAAUAAGCAUUU